This is a long non-coding RNA of Prionailurus viverrinus (fishing cat), 795 nucleotides long. RefSeq lists it as uncharacterized. The transcript has 3 exons. Lineage: Eukaryota; Metazoa; Chordata; Mammalia; Carnivora; Felidae. The record is from RefSeq and is a predicted model, not a curated record.
UCACCGCCCUUGGGAUCCCGUCCUGCCUGGCGCGGCAGGACAUCCACGUGGGCUCCAGACCCCGGCCAGAGCACGGAGCGCGUGGAUUCACUUCGCACCACAGUCGCUUAAGGCGCUCGGCCACUUUGCCUCAUUUUGCAAAAGAGGACAAUAAUGGUUGCGAGAGCGCGCCAGGCCCAGCCACAAGGCAAAAGGUGGAGCUGGAGCAGGGCAGGGGGGCUGGGCACCUGGGUCCGAGAUACUGCAGUGGAAACUAAGGCCAGAACUCUGACUCCCGAGCCAAACACUGCUUCAGCCUAGGCCGCCUCGGCCUCCCGCUUCCUGAGCAGAAGACACUCCCGACAGGGCUCACAUGUUCCUGGCUGGAGAUUGAGUCCAGUCACCAACGGCCAAUGAUUUCAUCAUAUGUACAUAACGGAGCCUCUGCAAAAACCCAACAAGGAGGGCUCGGGAAGCACAUGACGGUGCUGCCCGCAUGAUGGGCGGUGGCGCAUCUGGAGAAGGCAUGGAAGCCCAGUGCCAUUCUUCGCUCCCUGCCUUCACCAUCUACCUCCUCCGGCUGUUGGGAGUGUUUUCCUGAGCACUAUAAACACCCACCCGCACCACGUCCUUCAAGAACAGGACCCUGACCCCUGCCUUGCCUUCAGCUCCUCACCUGGAACAUGGGACAAGGACAGCCAUCCCUGCUGGCAUCCCGGGCCUGUGGGAUUCCACUGGGCCUCAGCGUCCCCAUCCCCAUCAUGGGCACAGGGGCGGCCCCAGCGAGCCGGCCUAGUUGGGAGAAACAAUAAAAUA